RNAcentral lists this RNase P RNA (441 nucleotides) under Pseudonocardiaceae bacterium. Its description in RNAcentral is "Bacterial RNase P class A". It matches the Rfam family "Bacterial RNase P class A". From Rfam's summary of the family: Ribonuclease P (RNase P) is a ubiquitous endoribonuclease, found in archaea, bacteria and eukarya as well as chloroplasts and mitochondria. Its best characterised activity is the generation of mature 5'-ends of tRNAs by cleaving the 5'-leader elements of precursor-tRNAs. Lineage: Bacteria; Bacillati; Actinomycetota; Actinomycetes; Pseudonocardiales; Pseudonocardiaceae. The record is from Rfam by way of RNAcentral.
CGAGUCGGCAGGACGGCCGCGACGGUGGAGGCGUCCACCGCCGAGGAAAGUCCGGACUCCACAGGGCAGGGUGGUUGCUAACCGCAACCCGGGGCGACCCGCGGGAAAGUGCCACAGAAAGCAGACCGCCUCGGGCCGCGCCGGCGAACGUCGAGCGCGGCCCGAGGUAAGGGUGAAACGGUGGUGUAAGAGACCACCAGCAUCCCGGGUGACCGGGAUGGCUCGGUAAACCCCACCCGGAGCAAGGCCAAGAGGGAGCCUCGUUGCUCCUGCGCAGGCGAUUGAGGGUGACCCGCCCGAUGCCUGCGGGUAGGCCGCUUGAGCUUGCCGGCGACGGCAGGCCUAGAUGGAUGGCCGUCCCCCUACGGCCGCCGUAGGCACCCCGGGUGUCGGCGGUGUUGCCGGCGGGGACAGAAUCCGGCUUACAUGUCGACUCGUCCG